GAUCAUGGCUCAGGACGAACGCUGGCGGCGCGCCUAACACAUGCAAGUCGAACGAGAGAGAGGGAGCUUGCUUCCUCGAUCGAGUGGCGAACGGGUGAGUAACGCGUGAGGAACCUGCCUCAAAGAGGGGGACAACAGUUGGAAACGACUGCUAAUACCGCAUAAGCCCACGGCUCGGCAUCGAGCAGAGGGAAAAGGAGCAAUCCGCUUUGAGAUGGCCCCGCGUCCGAUUAG
Molecule: ribosomal RNA, 234 nt
Filed under: uncultured bacterium
Lineage: Bacteria
Description: partial 16S ribosomal RNA
Rfam family: Bacterial small subunit ribosomal RNA
Source: RNAcentral